This 253-nucleotide ribosomal RNA is filed under the name uncultured bacterium. RNAcentral's name for it is "partial 16S ribosomal RNA". It matches the Rfam family "Bacterial small subunit ribosomal RNA", at positions 524 to 776 of the family's 1533-position model. The record is from RNAcentral.
UACGGGGGGGGCAAGCGUUGUUCGGAAUGACUGGGCGUAAAGGGCUCGUAGGUGGCCAACUGAGUCGGACGUGAAAUCCCUCGGCUUAACCGGGGAACUGCAUCCGAUACUGGAUGGCUUGAGUUCGGGAGAGGGAUGCGGAAUUCCAGGUGUAGCGGUGAAAUGCGUAGAUAUCUGGAGGAACACCGGUGGCGAAGGCGGCAUCCUGGACCGACACUGACGCUGAGGAGCGAAAGCCAGGGGAGCAAACGGG